Molecule: long non-coding RNA, 4260 nt
Filed under: Gossypium barbadense (sea-island cotton)
Lineage: Eukaryota; Viridiplantae; Streptophyta; Magnoliopsida; Malvales; Malvaceae
Description: long non-coding RNA (GBAR_LNC001704)
Source: RNAcentral
GGGCCAUCUCUGCAAAGAUAUGAAUAAUUUCAGAAGACAAUUAAAAAAUAUAAAACUAGUUACAUUUUCUCAUUAACUACCAAACAUAACACGGAAAAGCCAGAUCUUAGAUAAUUACUGUAUAACUCCCAAAAGCCCUAAUCUUCAAACUAGAAAACUUCUAAGCCAAAAAAGAAAAUCAGAAUAGGAUUUAAAACAGAAGUCGAAGGUCCUAAAUGAACUCAGAACAGAAUCAGAGUGCCCUAAUUAUAAAUAAAUUCAACCUUACCUCCCCUAUUUCCCUAAUUCAACUUAAACUACAUGAAAUACAAAAACAAAUUAAAAGAAUCAGAAUUUACAAACCCUAAUUUACUAUAAAAAUAAACAAAUAAAUAAGAGCCAAGAGAGCGAGGGAAGGUUACUAACUCAGAAAUCUGAGACAAACGCUUUAUUAUCUUCUGGUUCAAAUGUUCGAAAAGGAUAGCAAUUAAGAGGUAUUUAUAGAAGGUUGGGGGGUUUGUUAAUGAAGUUGAUCCGACGGUUCGGAUAUACUAUCCGUGUGUUUCUUUUGUACGAGAUCUGACGGUAAAAACUGUCACAAGUUGUGUUUUCUGAGAGGAAAAGGACGGUUGGGAUUAGAUUAUAGAGGGAAGACACGGAUCGUGAUGGUUUGAUUGCUUGAUUCUUAUUGGUCGACUAAAAUUGCUUUUUAGCACAAAUGUUUUUAAGGUUGGAUUUACCACAGAAACUUGGAUUAAUUUAAUGUUCAAUAUAGAAGAAUUUGAGUUCAAGUAUCGUGUAUUAUCUUUAUAUUUAUGGGAUGGAAGGGGUUUUAGAUAGUUUUAAAUAUUGUGUAAAAAAAACAGAUAUGAUCAUAAUUUAUAAUGAGAUUAUUAAAAAAUAUACAUAGCAAUUUUGAUUUGGAUUAACAUUUACUUAUAAAUAGGUGAAUGCAUGGGUUAAAUUAUGAAAGUUGUUGUAAUUUGGUAUUAGUCCUUAAUAGAUUUAAGAAAGAAUUUUGAGUAGUUUGAACUUAGAUUUUAUUAUAAUUUUGAUAGUAAAAUUAUAAGAUUAUUUAAAUUUAUAAAAAUCAUAAUUUUUUUUGGCAAAAGGGAUUAAAAAACUCUUAAUGAAAAUUAAUAAAUCAAUUUACAUCUUAAAAAAAAUAUAUGCACAGAAUUGAAGUCCCAAAAGCAAAAUUAAAAAAAAAUAAAAAAUAAAACUCUUUCAUUACCAAUAAUUUUUGUUUAAAAGAGGGGAGAAAUAGACAUCAAAGCUCCUUUUGAUGUAACAUAUAAAUUUGUUUCGCUUCAUUCCAAACACAAUUCAAAUAUAUAUUAACAAAAAUGGUAAAAAAUUAUAAUAAUUAAUAGUAAAAAUAAAAUUUAAAAAUUAUUUUUAAAAAAGAGUAAGAAGUGUUUUGAAGAAAAUUUUUAUUUGUCCUUAAUAACAUGUGAUAUUUUGGCUUAUAAUUGACUAUUUUGACAAAUCUUUUCAUAGUUAACAAUAUUUAUGAUCUUUAAUCAUUUUUAACAUUCUUUAUAAUUUUAUACAAGAUUUUAAAUAUAUUACAAUAUUUUCAAUUAGGUCAAAUAAAUAUAAACAGAUAAAUAAUCAACUUGAGCCUUGAUUUUUGGGCAAAUUUUUUUUCUUAAGAUAUUAACUAAUUAAUUAUAUAGAAAUACUCGGAAAAGAAAAACAUCCUCUAUCUUGUCUAAUUUUAGAAAGGUUAGAAACGACAUAGGAAGGGUAUCAAAAAUCUACAAAUCCUUUUUCUAAUUAAAAUUAGUUUGACUAAAUAGUCUGUAGCUUGAUUUACUCUCUAGGAAUAUAAAGCAAGAACCACCGUUUUUCUUGUGCCAAAAUAUUUUGUAUAUAUCUAAUCAAAGUUGAAUUUGACGUGCUAGACUAUAGGAACGCUUCCUUAAUUAGCUUUAACAACCUCCAAAUUAUAAGAUUUGAUUAUUCCAUUAUCAAAGGCCUCUACAUUAGGUUAGCUUGAGACUAUCCAAAAUAUCCUAAAGUUCGGCAUCAAUGACUAAACACUUUUCUAAAUAACAGUUAUAGCCAAGACACCCAUUCCCAUUCUCAUCACAAAUUACUCCCCCGAAAACUACAUUACCUAAUUAAUUUCCUUCCAAGGCUCAUUGGGCCAAAUUUGUUUUUAGAAAUAAUGACCUAUUCACGUUACAAUUUAAUAAAAAAAAAUUUAAUUAACCAUUUAAUUACUCGUUUCUUUAAUUUUAGAAGUUUUUUUAUCAAAACAUCUUAAAAUGACUGAAAUUUUUAACACUCUGAAUCUCAACAUUUGAAAUUAAUUAAUUUUUAAUAUUUUGUAAUAUUAUUUAUUUUACAAUUUUUUAAAUAAUUCUAAGAAUUUUCAAUAUUUUAAAAAAUAACUAAUUGUUGAUGUUAUAGUUUCAACUUUAAUUUUCGAAUAAUUUGAAAAAAGAUACAAAUAUAAAUAUUUAAAAAUAAAAAAUUAAUUUGAAAGCUAAAAUGAUUUUUUUUCCAAAGUUGGCCUAAAUAAGUAAUUAUACAUUUUUUCUAAUAUCUCAAAUUAUUAAAUAAGAAGUAUCUUAGGUAAAUAUAGAAUCAACUUCAAAUUCUUGGAACCAAAAAUUUCACCUUAAAUGCCACUUGUAAGCACAAAACAUCUUGAGCCUCUUAACAAAAGCACCAAUAUCAUUUCUUUAUUUUACGCUGACCACAGUAAUAAGAUACGCUGAAAAUCACGCAUCCCACUUUUCCCAAGGACACAUUUUCAUUACCGACCUGGUUCAAUCGCUCUUUCCGGCAGGUUUACAAAUUUAAGCCCAUAAAUUUAAACAUGCCCCCUCCAAAAUAUUCUCUUCACGGGCUGAUUCCACAACACGACUAAACAAGAUUUGCUUUACAAUAUAUGAAUAAAUAUUCGAAGUCACUAGUUUUGAUCAGGAAGCACAUUUAAACAAACUAUACCAGACAUGAGUGUUCUUAACCAUUAAAAUAUCAGACAUCACACUCUCCACCAUAACCCCAUUUCAUCAUAACAUUGAACCUCAGCACUAAGAUAAACCUAUCUUUUAAUAUUGGCCUAAAAGAGGAAUAAAAUUAAACAUAAAAAAAAAUAGUACAAUACAUCUGCCUAACAACAAACAAUAGUUUCUCCAUUCUAAGUUAAGUGAUCAACACACUUGGAAAUUAAGCACGCUCGCCCCUGAUCCUACGAGCCAACUGGAUGUCCUUGGGCAUUAUAGUAACACGCUUGGCGUGGAUCGCACACAGGUUGGUGUCUUCAAAGAGACCCACAAGGUAUGCUUCUGCAGCUUCCUGAAGAGCAAGAACGGCAUGGCUCUGGAAACGCAAAUCAGUCUGCAAACAAAGAUCAUAUCAAUGAUUGUCAACCAAAAGACAAUACCAUCAAUUGCCAAGGAAUUGACACAAUAAUAGAGAUAUUCCGUACCUUGAAGUCCUGGGCAAUUUCACGAACAAGCCUCUGGAAAGGCAAUUUCCUGAUAAGAAGCUCAGUACUCUUCUGGUACUUUCGAAUUUCACUGUAAAAAUGAAUUACAAUAUGUUAAAAAACCCAUAAAACGAAACACCCACACUCAUAAGAACAAGAACAAUGUUUAGAAAAUAUGAAAGAAUACCGAAGAGCAACAGUUCCAGGACGGUAGCGAUGAGGCUUCUUCACACCACCGGUGGUUGGGGCAGAUUUACGGGCAGCCUGUUAUACAACAGAGAUAUAUCAGAAGUUAAUUACAGAACAAGAGAGCUCAAAUUUGGUAAACCGUAUAAUGUUUUGAAUGCAAUACAAUGAAUCACCUUGGUAGCAAGUUGCUUCCUUGGAGCCUUCCCACCAGUCGACUUACGCGCAGUUUGCUUGGUACGGGCCAUCUCUGCAAAGAUACGAAUAAUUUCAAAAGACAAUUAAAAAAAAUAAAACUAGUUACAUUUUCUCAUGAACUACCAAGCAUAACACAGAAAAGCCAGAUCUUAGAUAAUUACAGUAUAACUCCCAAAAGCCCUAAUUUUCAAACUAGAAAACUUCUAAGCCAAAAAAGAAAAUCAGAAUAGGAUUUAAAACAGAAGUCGAAGGUCCUAAAUGAACUCAGAACAGAAUCAGAGUGCCCUAAUUAUAAAUAAAUUCAACCUUACCUCCCCUAUUUCCCUAAUUCAACUUACACGACAUGAAGUACAAAAACAAAAUAGAAGAAUCAGAAUUUACAAACCCUAAUUUAUCAUAAAAAUAAACAAAUAAAUAAAAGCUAAGAGAGCGAGAGAAGGUGACUAACUCUG